This 76-nucleotide transfer RNA is filed under the name Caenorhabditis brenneri. RNAcentral's name for it is "tRNA CBN26640". It matches the Rfam family "tRNA". From Rfam's summary of the family: Transfer RNA (tRNA) molecules are approximately 80 nucleotides in length. The record is from RNAcentral. Lineage: Eukaryota; Metazoa; Nematoda; Chromadorea; Rhabditida; Rhabditidae.
GUCGCCAUAGCUCAGUUGGUUAGAGCGUGGGUUAAUAACACACCCAAGGUCGCAGGUUCGAACCCUGCUGGCGGCA